This 117-nucleotide ribosomal RNA is filed under the name Terrilactibacillus tamarindi. Lineage: Bacteria; Bacillati; Bacillota; Bacilli; Caryophanales; Bacillaceae. The record is from RNAcentral.
UCUAGUGGCAAUGGCGAAGAGGUCACACCCGUUCCCAUCUCGAACACGGAAGUUAAGCUCUUCAGCGCCGAUGGUAAUUGGGGGCUGUCCCCCUGUGAGAGUAGGACGUCGCUAGGC